AUCCUUCGAAUUGGGUACAGAUGAUCGGAGAGCCUCCUAAGUUAUAACGUUCAUAUUAUAUCAUAUCAGACAAAACAAAUUUCAGUCAUACUGCACACACUACACACACCACACACAUACAGUUUCUUUGCUUCGUUUUUCUAUAAUUUUCACACGGUUGAUCUAUGGAAUGCUUGAAUCCAAUAGAGUCAGCGGCGGCUGAAUCGCCAUAUGAGGUGUUGCUCAGGGCGGUGUUAUUGAUACCGGUUUCUCACUAUUUAUUCGGAUUAUCGUUGAUAGUUAUUGUGUUUCUGUAUAAUUUUCUUGAAUUUCAUAUCCUGCAAGAUUUAUUCACCGGAUUGAGGGGACAGAAAGUGGUUUUGACUUUCCAUCCAUCCUCUCAACUCUACCGCGAUGUUGUCUCAAAGUGUAGAGUUCUUCAUGGCAGUAUGUCAAACAUCUGGCUUUCAGCAUGGCUAAACAUGGCUGGAAUGUUGUUGUGAGCAAUCAUCGCGGACUUGGGGGUGUAUCAAUUACAAUUUGUGACAGAUUUAUAAACCGUAAACUUGCCCAAAGGUUUUACAAUAAAGCUCUGACCAUCGGCUUGAAAGAUUAUGCCCAUUUGCUGUUUGAUUGAGCAUGGAAUUUUGUAGGCAUGAGGAUGUCCUUUCUCGUCUAUCAAACUGGGAAGGUGUUAAAAAGACUGUGGAUACAUAUUACAGGCGUUCUAGCAGUUCUAAUUUUGUAGGAAGUGUAACCACACCCCUUCUUUGCAUUAGUUCUUUAGAUGAUGCAGUAUGUACAAGUGAAGCCAUCCCUUGGGAUGAGUGCAGUUCAUCUAGCAGCCGUAUGACAUGGACUCAGAUGUCAUUAUGGCUUACGCCGCUGAUUUGAAUCCCCAACUAGGGAAAUCAUCAUGUCCAUUAGUAUUUUAUGCAAUAGUGAAAAUGCAUCAUCCCGAACGGGUUCCUCGCCAAUUUAGGAUGAGACAAAAUAUUCCAAAAGCGAUGGAUACUCGGGACAUGAGCCUACAUCAGAUCUCUCUAGAAAAUUAUACGGGCACAGAUUGGCACUUGCAGCACAUACAAUACAUUACUAGAUGACAAAGAUGAUAUGACACGAUUGUACAAAGGCUAUCCAUUUCCGAUAGAAGAGAAACAAAAAUAGGUUAUUGGGAAUGGUACUACAACAUAACACGGAAUUUCGUGUCGCCAUCUACUGAUAGACGUGUGAAAAGCGGGUACCAACUUGGAGACGCACCUAUGUUGCAAGUUGUGGCAAAAGAGGUGAAUGCCCUUGAAGCUUUGUGUCAAUCUAGACCACAAAAUAUUAAAGGGUAUAUAGUCAAUUGGUGAAUAAAUUCGAACAUGGGUUAUCAAGGAAGCCAUAAUCCAUCAGCCACAACAAAUUACUUCACCAUCUGAUGAUGCUCCCACAACAUCCCAUAGGUAAAGAAGAAGUUCUAGCCGAAUGUCUAUUGGUUCAGUUGAAUGUCAUGAUGUUGGGAUAGAUAUAACUGGUCCUUCUCCACUGCUUUCUUUAGAGCACUCUCCUGGCUGGCUGUCUCUUUCUUCAAUUGCCUCACCUCCCUCCUCAACUGUUGGCAGCGUCCUGUCACCUCCUUCUUGGCAUCCCUUUGUUUGGCGUUCUCGUUCCUUAAGCGCUCCAACCUAUCCUCCAACUUACGCCAUUGGGCAUCAUUGAAAGGAGGGGUUCCCUAUGACUUGGAAGAAAGUUCUUUAUAAUUUAUUGUAUGUUUAUUUUGAAAGAUUAAUUUGUAGAUUAUUGUGUAUAUUUUUUUUAUUAGUAUGCACUCGAAUAUUAUACUAGGCAAAGUCUUAGGGAAAAAG
Molecule: non-coding RNA, 1829 nt
Organism: Sesamum indicum (sesame)
Lineage: Eukaryota; Viridiplantae; Streptophyta; Magnoliopsida; Lamiales; Pedaliaceae
Source: RefSeq, a predicted model, not a curated record